RNAcentral lists this ribosomal RNA (371 nucleotides) under uncultured bacterium. RNAcentral's name for it is "bacterial SSU rRNA". It matches the Rfam family "Bacterial small subunit ribosomal RNA", at positions 527 to 896 of the family's 1533-position model. The record is from RNAcentral.
GUAGGUGGCGAGCGUUGUCCGGAUUUACUGGGCGUAAAGAGCGCGCAGGCGGCUGGUCAAGUCCGAUGUGAAAGCUCCCGGCUUAACUGGGAAAUUGCAUCGGAAACUGAUCGGCUGGAAGGUGGGAGAGGGUAGCGGAAUUCCCGGUGUAGUGGUGAAAUGCGUAGAUAUCGGGAGGAACACCAGUGGCGAAAGCGGCUACCUGGCCCAUUCCUGACGCUGAGGCGCGAAAGCUAGGGGAGCAAACGGGAUUAGAUACCCCGGUAGUCCUAACCGUAAACGAUGAACACUAGGCGUAGUCGGUAUCGACCCCGGCUGUGCCGUAGCUAACGCAUUAAGUGUUCCGCCUGGGGAGUACGGCCGCAAGGCGU